CAGGGGAGCCCUGCGGCGCUCGGGGCGGGAGCGGGCGGGGGCGGCCCCCGAGCCCCGGAGCCCUCGGCCGCCACCGCGGGGGCUCGCCCCGCGAACUCCACACACAGCUCGCCACUCCCAUAUAAAUACAAACUUGUAUAAAAAGGUUGUGUAUAUUUUCCAGGGGCCCCUCCGUUCAGGAAGGACAUUGCGGGGCUGAAGCGCCUCCAAAGAAGAGCAACGAAGUUGGUGAAGGAUCUGGAGCACAAGUCCCAUGAUGAAAGGCUGAAGGAGGUGCCACACAAAGGGUCCUUGGGAUGGAGACUGGAAAUGCCAUGAAAACUGGACCAGGCUCCUAAGCAAAUUGCAGGAAUAAUGAGGAAUGCAUCUUUGAGGAAUGAACGAGCCCAUUUACCCCUGCUACCCAUCCACCUGUGUCUGUGCAGUGGAUUAUGGUGCCAUGAGGACAGAAAACAUGGAAAUAUACAGCUCACUGCUGAGACAAGAGAUUCAAAAUUGUGGGCCACUGCUGUGGCUGCUGAGGGGGCCGACACAGGCCCAGACACAGCUCCAGGGUACCAUCCUAAUGUUUAGCAGUUAUUUAGGACUUUGCUGCUGCCAGUUCUAAUUCUAAGUCUAGGGAGAAGUAAUGGGUGAGCCCAGUCUUUGCAAGACACUUUCUCCAAGAGCGACUGGGAUACAGAUAAAAUCCUGCCACAAGACAGUGAAUGCUGGCAGCCACCAUGCUCCUCUGCUCUUGGACAAUUGUCAUCUUCCCUUUCUCCCACAGCUGCUCCAUCCCUCAUCUCUGCCUGUUGCUCCAGUGUUUCCUCCCAGCUUCCACCCUCCUCCCUCUCCUGGGGUGUACCCUUCUUCAGGAAACACAGCACUGGACGUGUUUCAAGGGGUUUUCAGACAGAGGAUGGGGAAUGAAGAAGGAUCAGCUGGAUCCUGGGAAGGCAAUGUGACAAAAGGAAAAGAGUCUGAGAGCUGUCAAAACAGAUGCAAGUACGGAGUUAUAUUAAAACGGUGCAAGUUGUUCAUUUUUAUCCAGUAAAUAGGGCAGCAAAUCUGGCAGAAGAAACUCACUUAAAAGCCUGUAAGUGAGCUCAGUGACCUGGCACUGUCAGAUUAGUUUCCUUAUGUGAUGCAUUGCUGAACGUAAUGUGUCAUCAUAAAUCUUGGUUGCUACAGCUGUUAAAGCCAUAAAGUGAAGCAGAGUUAUUAAUACCCAGUAGUAGUAGCUGUCAGGCUCCAUUCUGUAAUUGAGCAUCAGAUCUGCAGUUGGAAAACUCUUCUUUUUUGUCUGACAUGUGGAGUAACUGCAUGUCUGCAGAUGCCGAGAGAGUGGAGACAGGUAGGAACAUCCCACCCACGCAGGGCUGUGAUGAAAUCCUCCUGCAGAGCAUCAAGAGUGUGCCUCUUUCUCUGUUGUUUCUCUAGCUGCCUCUGCAAGUCUGAGGUUUCCUGCUGGGAGAUGAAGCAAUUCUUCCUCUUGGUAUAUGGAUAAAGGUAAACACAUGAAUACAGACACACAGAGUGUAGUUAUGCAGGAAAGGGCAGCCUUUCAAAAAUCAGAAGAUAAAUUUGCUGCUAGAAGCACAGAGACUGCUGGAAAGUCCUUGCUCUAAGGGAUGCGAUCCUGCCAUGGAGGACUUCCCAGCUCCCACAGAGUUCUAAGCUCAGCAAAACACCCUUUCUCCAUGAGGCAAGAAAUGGUACCAGGCCCCUUCACCAGCUGGACCCAUGCAAAGUAAGUUCCUGCUGCAUUUAGAUGUGAGGAAGACACAGAAAUCCAGAGCUGCUGUCUCUCACAUAUGGCUUUUUGAAGAUGUCCCCACUACUUCACUGUGUGCCACCUCUGGCAACCCGGGCUGUGGGCUGCAGACUCUUCUCACAAAUCCUCUGAUGUACAGACCCCAAAUGACCCAUAAGCCAGAAGGGACAGAGCCACCCUGCUGUGCAAUGAAGAUGCAGACCAAUUCUUCUAGGAGGGAAGAGAGUGUUAUGCCUCUGCCCAGGUGCUUUUGCUCGCACAGCAGGAAAAUCGGUUUUGCUGUAUCCUGGUUGUGCUGUGAGGAUCCAUCUCUGGGCAGCCCAGAGAAGGCUGGCAUUUUCCUUUCCCUUAGGAAGCAGCAGGGCAGACACACACAGAGAUGGAAUGCACUUGCUGGAGUGAGUGGGCAGCAGCCCAUCAUCUGACUGGCCUUUUCUUUGCACCUGAGCUCCCGCAACUGCUUAAUUAGUCACACGGUUUCCUGGAACCUGGGGGAGAACAUCACAAUUUUCGGUGGUAGAGGAGAAGGUGAUGGGGGGAGGCGGAGGUGGGGGGAGAACAAGCGUUUGCAAAUCAGACUGAAAAAAAUAUUUACUCUAAUUUGGGAGUCAUGAGCAAACUCAGGACACAUCGCCUCAGGCUGCAGGUGGCAAACACAGCGAAGGGGGUGUGCAGAGAAACAGUGAGGUUUAGGGAGUGCAGUUUUGGUCAUGUGAAGCCAUUAGGUACCGAGCUGUCUGUGGGCUCUGCCCCAAGGACUUUGUUCUUACCCCCACUACAGCUUUUCAGUUUGAAAUCACAUCUUUUUCACAUUCCCUGAUUAUCCAUGGCUUUAGAAAGCAGCGUGGAGGACUGCAGUGCUAACACUACCACUGGACCAACCUCUUGGGAUCCUGCAUCAAGCCCUGUCUGGUUUUAGUUGCAGACAGUACUGUUUGCCCCUGCACACUCACAGAUUUGAAGGUUAACAGAGAUUAUUGACCACCCCUUAGUAUUCACAUAAUACCUGGAUAAUAUAACCCUGCUGUAAAACUCAUAGCCCCUUCAGUAACUUGCAGUUGUCUGCAGACUUUUUUCAGAUCCCUCAAGAAAUGAAUAAUCUGUUUUUUCCCCGUGGUAGUUUGCUACAACUGUUACCUGCUUUCACAAGUAAAGGUCCAUACACAGUUUUAUCUGGUUUUAAUUUCCACCUAUCUUUCUUUUCAGUAUGUAUGCUUUUUUCACCCUGCUGUUACUGGAAAGUUGCCUGCAUUUUUAAAUGCUUUUUCAGUAAA
Haemorhous mexicanus (house finch) is the source of this 3030-nucleotide long non-coding RNA. RefSeq lists it as uncharacterized. The record is from RefSeq and is a predicted model, not a curated record. The transcript has 2 exons. Lineage: Eukaryota; Metazoa; Chordata; Aves; Passeriformes; Fringillidae.